This 498-nucleotide ribosomal RNA is filed under the name uncultured Finegoldia sp. Its description in RNAcentral is "partial 16S ribosomal RNA". Lineage: Bacteria; Bacillati; Bacillota; Tissierellia; Tissierellales; Peptoniphilaceae. The record is from RNAcentral.
CACGUAUUUAGCCGGAGCUUUCUUCUAUGGUACUGUCAUUAUCUUCCCAUAGGACAGAACUUUACGAUACGAAUACCUUCUUCGUUCACGCGGCGUCGCUGCAUCAGGGUUUCCCCCAUUGUGCAAUAUUCCCCACUGCUGCCUCCCGUAGGAGUUUGGACCGUGUCUCAGUUCCAAUGUGGCCGUUCAUCCUCUCAGACCGGCUACUGAUCGUCGCCUUGGUGGGCUGUUAUCUCACCAACUAGCUAAUCAGACGCGAGCCCAUCUAUGACCGAUAAAUCUUUGACCGUUAAAACAUGUGUUUCUACGAUUUUAUGCGGUAUUAAUCCCGGUUUCCCGAGGCUAUCCCACUGUCAUAGGCAGGUUGCUCACGCGUUACUCACCCGUUCGCCACUCUCAUUAGUAAUCUUCCACCGAGGCUUCUGUUUACUAAAUCCCGUUCGACUUGCAUGUGUUAAGCACGCCGCCAGCGUUCGUCCUGAGCCAGGAUCAAACUCU